UGGGGGAAUAUUGCACAAUGGGGGAAACCCUGAUGCAGCGACGCCGCGUGAGCGAAGAAGUAUUUCGGUAUGUAAAGCUCUAUCAGCAGGGAAGAAAAUGACGGUACCUGACUAAGAAGCCCCGGCUAACUACGUGCCAGCAGCCGCGGUAAUACGUAGGGGCAAGCGUUAUCCGGAUUUACUGGGUGUAAAGGGAGCGUAGACGGCAAGGCAAGUCUGAUGUGAAAGGUUGGGGCUCAACCCCGGGACUGCAUUGGAAACUGUCCUGCUGGAGUGCCGGAGAGGUAAGCGGAAUUCCUAGUGUAGCGG
This 309-nucleotide ribosomal RNA is filed under the name uncultured Ruminococcus sp. Its description in RNAcentral is "bacterial SSU rRNA". It matches the Rfam family "Bacterial small subunit ribosomal RNA", at positions 354 to 681 of the family's 1533-position model. The record is from RNAcentral. Lineage: Bacteria; Bacillati; Bacillota; Clostridia; Eubacteriales; Oscillospiraceae.